UACGUAGGGUGCAAGCGUUGUCCGGAAUUAUUGGGCGUAAAGAGCUCGUAGGCGGUUUGUCGCGUCGGCUGUGAAAACCCGAGGCUCAACCUCGGGCCUGCAGUCGAUACGGGCAAACUAGAGUGCGGUAGGGGAGACUGGAAUUCCUGGUGUAGCGGUGAAAUGCGCAGAUAUCAGGAGGAACACCGGCGGCGAAGGCGACUUCCUGGCCUGUUCUUGACGCUGAGGCGCGAAAGCUAGGGGAGCAAACGGG
This 253-nucleotide ribosomal RNA is filed under the name uncultured bacterium. RNAcentral's name for it is "partial 16S ribosomal RNA". It matches the Rfam family "Bacterial small subunit ribosomal RNA", at positions 524 to 776 of the family's 1533-position model. The record is from RNAcentral.